This 1407-nucleotide ribosomal RNA is filed under the name Lactococcus lactis. Its description in RNAcentral is "bacterial SSU rRNA". It matches the Rfam family "Bacterial small subunit ribosomal RNA". The record is from RNAcentral. Lineage: Bacteria; Bacillati; Bacillota; Bacilli; Lactobacillales; Streptococcaceae.
AGUUGAGCGCUGAGGUUGGUACUUGUACCAACUGGAUGAGCAGCGAACGGGUGAGUAACGCGUGGGGAAUCUGCCUUUGAGCGGGGGACAACAUUUGGAAACGAAUGCUAAUACCGCAUAAAAACUUUAAACACAAGUUUUAAGUUUGAAAGAUGCAAUUGCAUCACUCAAAGAUGAUCCCGCGUUGUAUUAGCUAGUUGGUGAGGUAAAGGCUCACCAAGGCGAUGAUACAUAGCCGACCUGAGAGGGUGAUCGGCCACAUUGGGACUGAGACACGGCCCAAACUCCUACGGGAGGCAGCAGUAGGGAAUCUUCGGCAAUGGACGAAAGUCUGACCGAGCAACGCCGCGUGAGUGAAGAAGGUUUUCGGAUCGUAAAACUCUGUUGGUAGAGAAGAACGUUGGUGAGAGUGGAAAGCUCAUCAAGUGACGGUAACUACCCAGAAAGGGACGGCUAACUACGUGCCAGCAGCCGCGGUAAUACGUAGGUCCCGAGCGUUGUCCGGAUUUAUUGGGCGUAAAGCGAGCGCAGGUGGUUUAUUAAGUCUGGUGUAAAAGGCAGUGGCUCAACCAUUGUAUGCAUUGGAAACUGGUAGACUUGAGUGCAGGAGAGGAGAGUGGAAUUCCAUGUGUAGCGGUGAAAUGCGUAGAUAUAUGGAGGAACACCGGUGGCGAAAGCGGCUCUCUGGCCUGUAACUGACACUGAGGCUCGAAAGCGUGGGGAGCAAACAGGAUUAGAUACCUGGUAGUCCACGCCGUAAACGAUGAGUGCUAGAUGUAGGGAGCUAUAAGUUCUCUGUAUCGCAGCUAACGCAAUAAGCACUCCGCCUGGGGAGUACGACCGCAAGGUUGAAACUCAAAGGAAUUGACGGGGGCCCGCACAAGCGGUGGAGCAUGUGGUUUAAUUCGAAGCAACGCGAAGAACCUUACCAGGUCUUGACAUACUCGUGCUAUUCCUAGAGAUAGGAAGUUCCUUCGGGACACGGGAUACAGGUGGUGCAUGGUUGUCGUCAGCUCGUGUCGUGAGAUGUUGGGUUAAGUCCCGCAACGAGCGCAACCCCUAUUGUUAGUUGCCAUCAUUAAGUUGGGCACUCUAACGAGACUGCCGGUGAUAAACCGGAGGAAGGUGGGGAUGACGUCAAAUCAUCAUGCCCCUUAUGACCUGGGCUACACACGUGCUACAAUGGAUGGUACAACGAGUCGCGAGACAGUGAUGUUUAGCUAAUCUCUUAAAACCAUUCUCAGUUCGGAUUGUAGGCUGCAACUCGCCUACAUGAAGUCGGAAUCGCUAGUAAUCGCGGAUCAGCACGCCGCGGUGAAUACGUUCCCGGGCCUUGUACACACCGCCCGUCACACCACGGGAGUUGGGAGUACCCGAAGUAGGUUGCCUAACCGCAAGGAGGGCGCU